This 453-nucleotide ribosomal RNA is filed under the name uncultured organism. RNAcentral's name for it is "partial 16S ribosomal RNA". It matches the Rfam family "Bacterial small subunit ribosomal RNA", at positions 334 to 796 of the family's 1533-position model. The record is from RNAcentral.
CACUCCUGCGGGAGGCAGCAGUGGGGAAUAUUGCACAAUGGGCGCAAGCCUGAUGCAGCGACGCCGCGUGGGGGAUGAAGGCCUUCGGGUUGUAAACUCCUUUCGCUAGGGACGAAGCUUUUUUGUGACGGUACCUAGAUAAGAAGCACCGGCUAACUACGUGCCAGCAGCCGCGGUAAUACGUAGGGUGCGAGCGUUGUCCGGAAUUACUGGGCGUAAAGGGCUCGUAGGUGGUUUGUCGCGUCGUCUGUGAAAUUCUGGGGCUUAACUCCGGGCGUGCAGGCGAUACGGGCAUAACUUGAGUGCUGUAGGGGUAACUGGAAUUCCUGGUGUAGCGGUGAAAUGCGCAGAUAUCAGGAGGAACACCGAUGGCGAAGGCAGGUUACUGGGCAGUUACUGACGCUGAGGAGCGAAAGCAUGGGUAGCGAACAGGAUUAGAAACCCGGGUAGUCC